RNAcentral lists this microRNA precursor (127 nucleotides) under Cunninghamia lanceolata. RNAcentral's name for it is "miR6725 stem-loop (cln-MIR6725)". The record is from miRBase by way of RNAcentral. Lineage: Eukaryota; Viridiplantae; Streptophyta; Pinopsida; Cupressales; Cupressaceae.
GGUAGAUUCUUGGCAUCUGUCGAGGUCAUCUACAAAGUUUUCGUUUGUUGAUAUUAGAAAAAUAUAAAUUUUAGCAAGUGGAUCUAAAACAUUGUGGAUGAUCUCGAGGAUGCCCAAGGGUUUAUUA